ACUCGUCUGGGCGAGUAUAAACAGUAAUUAGGCCCAGAGCGUUCCGGCCUUCGUCGGAGGUUUAG
Molecule: ribozyme, 65 nt
Filed under: unclassified sequences
Description: pistol ribozyme
Rfam family: Pistol ribozyme
Source: RNAcentral